RNAcentral lists this small RNA (755 nucleotides) under Pongo abelii (Sumatran orangutan). Its description in RNAcentral is "processed transcript". The record is from RNAcentral. Lineage: Eukaryota; Metazoa; Chordata; Mammalia; Primates; Hominidae.
GUCACUUAGUGUGUUAGGUUGAGACUGUUUUGAUUAUCAGCACUUAUGACAAUGUGAUAUUCAGUGUUUUUUUUCCCCUUUUAGUUCUGGACCUGCAGAUAGAGUGGCUUUGAUUUUGGAAUGAGGUGACUAACAGAUAAAACUUUGAAGUUGAGAAGAAGUCAUUAUUAUUGAUUGGGUUUUAUUGUGGGUUUUAUCAAACCAAAUAGGGCAGCCCCACAGAACAUUGAGUCAGAAGUCAGAAGCUUGCAGGUUUGGAGUUAGGAUUGACUCAGUGGCACAUUAAUUACCCAGUGUCUGGGCUUUUCUUGGGAUUAAGGAGUUAUCCUAUUUUUCUGCCUGACUGGGAAUAAGUUUAAAAAGGUAAAAUAUGAAAUAGGUUCUGCUAUUUUUCAUUCAACCUUAAGGUGUCAGCACUGUUUACUAUCUUAAUGUUAAAAUAAUUCUGUAAAACUUUUCAUGUUAAACAUUUUUUUUCUCUGUCACUGAUUUCAGUUGUUUUGGAGAAUCAUGUAGUGACAGAUGAAGAUGAACCUGCUUUGAAACGCCAGCGACUAGAAAUCAAUUGCCAGGAUCCGUCUAUAAAGUCAUUCCUGUAUUCCAUCAACCAGACAAUCUGCUUGCGGUUGGAUAGCAUUGAAGCCAAACUGCAAGCCCUGGAGGCUACUUGUAAAUCUUUAGAAGAAAAGCUGGAUCUGGUCACGAACAAGCAGCACAGCCCCAUCCAGGUUCCCAUGGUGGCCGGCUCCCCUCUC